GCGGCCAUGGCGGAACUGGCAGACGCGCUAGGUUCAGGUCCUAGUACUCGCAAGGGUGUGGAGGUUCGACUCCUCUUGGCCGCA
RNAcentral lists this transfer RNA (84 nucleotides) under Planctomycetota bacterium. RNAcentral's name for it is "tRNA-Leu". It matches the Rfam family "tRNA". From Rfam's summary of the family: Transfer RNA (tRNA) molecules are approximately 80 nucleotides in length. Their secondary structure includes four short double-helical elements and three loops (D, anti-codon, and T loops). The record is from RNAcentral. Lineage: Bacteria; Pseudomonadati; Planctomycetota.